Molecule: unclassified non-coding RNA, 377 nt
Filed under: uncultured fungus
Lineage: Eukaryota; Fungi
Description: partial contains 5.8S ribosomal RNA, internal transcribed spacer 2, and large subunit ribosomal RNA
Source: RNAcentral
AACGCAUAUUGCGCCCAAGACCUCGGUCGAGGGCAUGUCUGCGUCAGCGUCGGUAUUAACCCUCGCUUCCCUCCCUCCUGUUUGGAGCGGGGUCGGUCCAGCGCUUUGCCGCCGGGCUUGGAAGCGGAUCUGGCUUUCCCACUGUCCAGGUGGGUUUGCCGAAAAGCAGAGGCUAGAGCGAGGACCCGACAUGGGCUCAACUGGAUAGGUAGAAGCGGUGCCGCAAGGCGCUUGCCAAUACACGAAGUUGAUGCCUGGGGCCUUGCUGGCGGCCAGCAGGAAACGUGCGUGUGCGCUGUGGCUGCCCUUGUGCGCCAUGGCUGCCGCCGUAUCAAUCAUUCGACCUGACCUCAGGCAAGACUACCCGCUGAACUUAA